This 891-nucleotide ribosomal RNA is filed under the name uncultured bacterium. Its description in RNAcentral is "bacterial SSU rRNA". It matches the Rfam family "Bacterial small subunit ribosomal RNA", at positions 505 to 1397 of the family's 1533-position model. The record is from RNAcentral.
GUGCCAGCAGCCGCGGUAAUACGUAGGGGGCAAGCGUUAUCCGGAAUUACUGGGUGUAAAGGGUGCGCAGGCGGCAUCGCAAGUUUGAUGUGAAAUCCAUGGGCUUAACCCGUGGCAUGCAUCGAAAACUACGGAGCUAGAGUGCAGGAGAGGAAAGCGGAAUUCCUAGUGUAGCGGUGAAAUGCGUAGAUAUUAGGAGGAACACCAGUGGCGAAGGCGGCUUUCUGGACUGCAACUGACGCUCAGGCACGAAAGCGUGGGGAGCAAACAGGAUUAGAUACCCUGGUAGUCCACGCUGUAAACGAUGAAUACUAGGUGUUGGGGUCUAAGACCUCGGUGCCGCAGUUAACGCAAUAAGUAUUCCACCUGGGGAGUACGAUCGCAAGAUUGAAACUCAAAGGAAUUGACGGGGCCCCGCACAAGCGGUGGAGCAUGUGGAUUAAUUCGACGCAACGCGAAGAACCUUACCAGGCUUUGACAUCCUCCUGAAUACUUCAGAGAUGAGGUAGGCCUUCGGGACAGGAGAGACAGGUGGUGCAUGGUUGUCGUCAGCUCGUGUCGUGAGAUGUUGGGUUAAGUCCCGCAACGAGCGCAACCCUUAUUGACAGUAGCCAGCAAGUAAGGUUGGGAACUCUGUUAAGACUGCCGGGGAUAACUCGGAGGAAGGUGGGGAUGACGUCAAAUCAUCAUGCCCCUUAUAGCCUGGGCUUCACACGUGCUACAAUGGCUGUCACAAAGAGAAGCGAACCCGCGAGGGAGAGCAAAGCUCAAAAAGGCAGUCUCAGUUCGGAUUGCAGGCUGCAACCCGCCUGCAUGAAGCUGGAAUCGCUAGUAAUCGCAAAUCAGCAUGUUGCGGUGAAUACGUUCCCGGGGCUUGUACACACCGCCCGU